UACGGAGGGUGCAAGCGUUGUCCGGAAUCACUGGGCGUAAAGGGCGCGUAGGCGGCUCAUGAAGGCUGUGGUGAAAGUCCGGGGCUCAACCUCGGAUCGGCCGUGGCGACUCGUGGGCUGGAGCACUGUAGAGGCGGGUGGAAUUCCGGGUGUAGCGGUGGAAUGCGUAGAGAUCCGGAAGAACACCGGUGACGAAGGCGGCCUGCUGGGCUAUGGCUGACACUGAGGCGCGACAGCGUGGGGAGCAAACAGG
RNAcentral lists this ribosomal RNA (253 nucleotides) under uncultured bacterium. RNAcentral's name for it is "partial 16S ribosomal RNA". It matches the Rfam family "Bacterial small subunit ribosomal RNA", at positions 524 to 776 of the family's 1533-position model. The record is from RNAcentral.